RNAcentral lists this unclassified non-coding RNA (211 nucleotides) under plant metagenome. Its description in RNAcentral is "partial contains small subunit ribosomal RNA, internal transcribed spacer 1, and 5.8S ribosomal RNA". The record is from RNAcentral.
UUUCCGUAGGUGAACCUGCGGAAGGAUCAUUCAUAAUAAAGUGUUUUAUGGCACUUUUUAAAAAUCCAUAUCCACCUUGUGUGCAAUGUUAGAUCUCGUCAAUCUUGGCGAGAUUUUUAUACAUCAACUCAUUCUUUAACUAAUUUGUCUGAAAAAUAUUAUGAAUACUUAAUUCAAAAUACAACUUUCAACAACGGAUCUCUUGGCUCGC